UACGUAGGGUGCAGGCGUUAAUCGGAAUUACUGGGCGUAAAGCGUGCGCAGGCGGUUUGCUAAGACAGGUGUGAAAUCCCCGGGCUUAACCUGGGAACUGCAUUUGUGACUGCAAGGCUAGAGUACGGUAGAGGGGGAUGGAAUUCCGCGUGUAGCAGUGAAAUGCGUAGAUAUGCGGAGGAACACCGAUGGCGAAGGCAAUCCCCUGGACCUGUACUGACGCUCAUGCACGAAAGCGUGGGGAGCAAACAGG
RNAcentral lists this ribosomal RNA (253 nucleotides) under uncultured bacterium. RNAcentral describes it as "partial 16S ribosomal RNA". It matches the Rfam family "Bacterial small subunit ribosomal RNA", at positions 524 to 776 of the family's 1533-position model. The record is from RNAcentral.